This 253-nucleotide ribosomal RNA is filed under the name uncultured bacterium. Its description in RNAcentral is "partial 16S ribosomal RNA". It matches the Rfam family "Bacterial small subunit ribosomal RNA", at positions 524 to 776 of the family's 1533-position model. The record is from RNAcentral.
UACAGAGACCACAAGCGUUACUCGGAUUCACUGGGCGUAAAGGGUGCGUAGGCGGUUAGGUGUGUCAGGUGUGAAAUCUCAGAGCUUAACUCUGAGGCUGCGCUUGAAACUACCUGGCUAGAGUUUUGGAGAGGUAAGCGGAAUUUCUGGUGUAGCGGUGAAAUGCAUAGAUAUCAGAAGGAACACCAAUGGCGAAGGCAGCUUACUGGACAAAAACUGACGCUGAGGCACGAAAGUGUGGGUAGCAAAAAGG